Molecule: transfer RNA, 73 nt
Filed under: Rhipicephalus sanguineus (brown dog tick)
Lineage: Eukaryota; Metazoa; Arthropoda; Arachnida; Ixodida; Ixodidae
Description: transfer RNA valine (anticodon AAC)
Rfam family: tRNA
About the family: Transfer RNA (tRNA) molecules are approximately 80 nucleotides in length. Their secondary structure includes four short double-helical elements and three loops (D, anti-codon, and T loops).
Source: Rfam by way of RNAcentral
GUGCUUGUGGGGUAGUGGUCAUCACAUCCGCCUAACACGCGGAAGGUCCCAGGUUCGAUCCCUGGCAGGCACA